AGUCCCUUGACAACCUCAGUCGUCUGUUGUUAAUGUUUGUUUAAAUUUUGUUUUGUAGAUAGUAUCCAGCUGAUUCCAACUUAUAGUGAAAUAAGUAGAACAAAUCCCAGUGUUAUACUUUCAAUGAUUUUUUAAAGAAGAAUUUGUCAUCAACACAAAUUGUGAAAUUCAACAGAUUCAAGGGCCACUGUCAUCAAGACUGCCACCCCAUCAUAUUCAUUAUUAACAAGAACCAACUGAUGUGCUCUGUAUUCUAUCCUGCAUCAUAAUCUUGGGUAACUACAUGCUAAAAUUCAUCUUGAAUAUGUUUAAAUCAUCCCCACUGAAAAUCAUGCAUGUGUUGUAUUUGUUUUAUAUUUUUUAAGCAGACAAUAAUUUAAGGGAAUAAAAAUCGACAGACUUGAGAGAUGGUUUGGGAAAGACUAUG
RNAcentral lists this long non-coding RNA (427 nucleotides) under Rattus norvegicus (Norway rat). RNAcentral's name for it is "long non-coding RNA NONRATT031781". Lineage: Eukaryota; Metazoa; Chordata; Mammalia; Rodentia; Muridae. The record is from RNAcentral.